Poecilia latipinna (sailfin molly) is the source of this 858-nucleotide long non-coding RNA. RefSeq lists it as uncharacterized. NCBI's taxonomy places the organism in Eukaryota, Metazoa, Chordata, Actinopteri, Cyprinodontiformes, Poeciliidae. The transcript has 2 exons. The record is from RefSeq and is a predicted model, not a curated record.
GCCACAGACAAUCCAAACAGGAAGGUGUACUGCAGAAGAGAGCACACACAGGUUAAAACAGCACGUUAUUAAACAGGUAAUCCCAUAGAAACGCAAGCUUUGUGGCUGUGGGUUUUGCCGUCAGGGUUUCUCCCGACGUGUCACAGUAAGACGCUGAAGGACAGCAGCAAUGAUAACGGGACACUGAUAGCAGAAUGGAGAUUUUUAUAUAUUGCCAUAUGGUCAUCUUGCCACCCUUGGCAUCUUCUAAAGACUCUGAAUAUUUGGUUCAUUUCUGUCAAGGUAAGAAACUAAGCAGAGGUCACUGUGUGAGGAGGGAUGUCCGCAGUGCGUUCAGUCAAAUGAGCGACGUCAGCAUUCUAACAAUGACUCCUAGUCACAAGUCAUCGAUUGUUUAAGAAAGUUCUGCGAAAAAGAUAAAGGUUAUGGCAUUUAACAACAGUCUGAUAGCAUUUUGAGAUAAAGUUCAGAGAUACGCACUGCUCAAUUCUUGAGGCAUAGAUAGUGUUUGAGUCAUUAAGAUUGAAUGUUAUUUAAAUGUCAGAGAACAACGUUAGAAAAGUGUCAUACAGGCAGCAGUAGGGUGGAUUGCAAGGUGGCAGAGUGUGUGUUUGUGUGUGUGUGUGUGUGUGUGUGUGUGUGUGUGUGUGUGUGUGUGUGUGUGUUUGGUGCAGGGAUUCAUACAUGCGUGUUGGUACACAGGUUUGCAACGUCUCCUUAUCACGAGGAGAGCUGAGAAACACCGCUGACAGGAUGCGACUCAGAUUUACAUCAUGAUUGGAAAUUUAUAUUGAAAAUUUGUUGCAACAGCUGUAGGAGUUCACCCUACAAUCGGUGGAUCGCCGGUUCAAUUCCCGC